Long non-coding RNA from Hydra vulgaris (swiftwater hydra), 973 nucleotides. RefSeq lists it as uncharacterized. The record is from RefSeq and is a predicted model, not a curated record. NCBI's taxonomy places the organism in Eukaryota, Metazoa, Cnidaria, Hydrozoa, Anthoathecata, Hydridae.
AGGCAAGUUUUAAGACAAUAUAUGUGAUGCUACUUUUUGUGAAAGGUGUAGAGUGCCGCUUUCAGUUCUGGAUGAGCUUAAAGAAUUGCUUAAAGAUGAUCUGCAUCAUCUGACUUGUAAAAAUAAAAGUUUAUCCCCAAGAGAUCAAAUUAAUUUUUUUUAUAUUUUUUGGGUAUAUGUUAUUACAAUUGAAUGAUUACUUUGCUUUAACAGUUAAAAUAUGGAUUAUGUAAAUUUCAAGGUGUUUAUAAAAAUUCAAUUUAAUAUAUCUGGAAAGACUGCUAAGAUUCUUAAAGUUUCUUUUUUUGUUUUUUUGUCUCUGUAUAGCUGGUUUUUUGAUGUAGUAUUCUUUGUUUUUGUAUGGAUGGAAUUGUUAUAUUUAAAGUAGUUUAAAACUUUUUGAAUUUUUUUCAGAUUUGAAUGCUUAUUAUGUUUACGCUGAUGGAACUGGGCGAUGACAUAAUUCUAGGGUGUUAUGUCAAUCAGCACUUUAGAAUGCUUUUGAGGUCAGGGGUGGUCAAAUUUUUCCUGGAGCAGUUGUCUUAGAUGACUAUGGCUACCCCUGCAACAACUGACUCAUCACACCUUACAAUGACAACCAAACAGCCUCCAAGCGUCGGUUCAAUGACGUGCACCGAAAAACUUGAAAUAUUAUCAAGCCUUGUUUUGGGGUUUUGAAAAACAGGUUUUACUCUCUGCAAGAACCUAUUUGAUUUUCUAAAGUAGAAAAUGCUGCAAAACUUGUUGUGUGUGCUUGUAUGAUUCACAACAUGUGCCUUAAAGUUGGUGAUAAGGAUGAAGAUUUUUCAGUUUUACCUGCCACACCUUUUCCCUUUCAAGCUUAAGACGACACUCAAGCUGAAAUUCAAUCAGGUACUCGCACGGAUCAAAUACUGCAGUUGUUUAACUGAUAUAAAUAAACACAGUUUAUUAAAUUUUAGUUUUAAAAAAAUUAUUAAAUUUCAAACAAAAA